Molecule: long non-coding RNA, 311 nt
Filed under: Elaeis guineensis (African oil palm)
Lineage: Eukaryota; Viridiplantae; Streptophyta; Magnoliopsida; Arecales; Arecaceae
Description: long non-coding RNA (EGUI_LNC013885)
Source: RNAcentral
ACCAACCAAUGAUGUAGGGGAAGCAUUUCCAGCCACCAGGCUUCCCUGAAGAUUAUUAUCCUCUCCGUCCGUCCACCGCCACCACUUCGUUGUGGGUAGAGGGCGAGCAUUUGAAGCAGUCGAUCAAGAACCCCUACGAGGAUUGCUUCGUCUUUCUUUCUUUUCCUCUCUCACACGCGCGCUCUCCCUUUCUCUUGGGGAUCUUCAUCUAUUUUCCACAGUUCGCUCAUACCCCGGGCUGAGCUAUAGUAUUUGUCUUGGAGUAUAAAAUGGGCAGGCAAAAGAGGGCUAGGAUCGUUUAUCAGCGAGAU